AAGUCGUAACAAGGUUUCCGUAGGUGAACCUGCGGAAGGAUCAUUACAUGAAUUACGGGGGUAGGACCCAACGUAUGCGUACUCCGUGUGCCUUGACCUGCCCUGUCUGAUUAUUCUACCCAUGUCUUUUGCGUACUUAUUGUUUCCUCGGCAGGCUUGCUUGCCGCUAGGACAUUAUAAAAACCUUUUGUAAUUGCAGUCAGCGUCAGAAAUAACUUAAUAGUUACAACUUUCAACAACGGAUCUCUUGGUUCUG
RNAcentral lists this unclassified non-coding RNA (256 nucleotides) under air metagenome. RNAcentral describes it as "partial contains small subunit ribosomal RNA, internal transcribed spacer 1, and 5.8S ribosomal RNA". The stretch from base 1 to 46 matches the Rfam family "Eukaryotic small subunit ribosomal RNA", at positions 1786 to 1831 of the family's 1831-position model. The record is from RNAcentral.